AUACAGAGGGUGCGAGCGUUAAUCGGAAUUACUGGGCGUAAAGCGCGCGUAGGCGGCUGAUUAAGUCAGAUGUGAAAUCCCAGGGCUCAACCUGGGAACUGCAUCUGAUACUGGUAAGCUAGAGUUUGGGAGAGGGAAGUAGAAUUUCAGGUGUAGCGGUGAAAUGCAUAGAGAUCUGAAGGAAUACCAGUGGCGAAGGCGACUUCCUGGCCUAAAACUGACGCUGAGGUGCGAAAGCGUGGGUAGCAAACGGGAUUAGAAACCCCAGUAGUCC
This 274-nucleotide ribosomal RNA is filed under the name uncultured bacterium. RNAcentral describes it as "partial 16S ribosomal RNA". It matches the Rfam family "Bacterial small subunit ribosomal RNA", at positions 523 to 796 of the family's 1533-position model. The record is from RNAcentral.